Molecule: ribosomal RNA, 492 nt
Filed under: uncultured bacterium
Lineage: Bacteria
Description: partial 16S ribosomal RNA
Rfam family: Bacterial small subunit ribosomal RNA
Source: RNAcentral
AGUGAACGCUGGCGGUAGGCCUAACACAUGCAAGUCGAACGGCAGCACCGUAAGAGCUUGCUCUUAUGGGUGGCGAGUGGCGGACGGGUGAGGAAUACAUCGGAAUCUACUUUUUCGUGGGGGAUAACGUAGGGAAACUUACGCUAAUACCGCAUACGACCUACGGGUGAAAGCAGGGGAUCUUCGGACCUUUCGCGAUUGAAUGAGCCGCUGUCGGGUUAGCUAGUUGGCGGGGUAAAGGCCCACCAAGGCGACGAUCCGUAGCUGGUCUGAGUGGAUGAUCAGCCACACUGGAACUGAGACACGGUCCAGACUCCUACGGGAGGCAGCAGUGGGGAAUAUUGGGCAAUGGGCGCAAGCCUUAUCCAGCCAUACCGCGUGUGUGAAGAAGGCCUUCGGGUUGUAAAGCCCUUUUGUUGGGAAAGAAAAGCAGCAGGUUAAUACCCCGCUGUUCUGACGGUACCCAAAGAAUAAGCACCGGCUAACUUCGUG